UACGAGGGGGGCGAGCGUUGUUCGGAAUUAUUGGGCGUAAAGGGUGCGUAGGCGGUUUGGUAAGUCUUGUGUGAAAUCUCCAGGCUCAACUUGGAGUCUGCACGAGAAACUGCCGGGCUUGAGUGUGGGAGAGGUGAGUGGAAUUCCUGGUGUAGCGGUGAAAUGCGUAGAUAUCAGGAGGAACACCUGUGGCGAAAGCGGCUCACUGGACCACAACUGACGCUGAGACACGAAAGCGUGGGUAGCAAAAGGG
This 253-nucleotide ribosomal RNA is filed under the name uncultured bacterium. RNAcentral describes it as "partial 16S ribosomal RNA". It matches the Rfam family "Bacterial small subunit ribosomal RNA", at positions 524 to 776 of the family's 1533-position model. The record is from RNAcentral.